Molecule: long non-coding RNA, 411 nt
Organism: Triticum aestivum (bread wheat)
Lineage: Eukaryota; Viridiplantae; Streptophyta; Magnoliopsida; Poales; Poaceae
Exons: 3
Source: RefSeq, a predicted model, not a curated record
UGCCGCAGCUAGCGAGAUCUCGCUCUCACCGUCAACACCAGCAAAGGCCAACCUGUGCUUGGUAAGGCAUAUGGUUACAUCAGAGGUCGGGGUCAUGGACCAAAACCAAAUAGAAGGGCCUACUCAAGCGCAUCAAGCUCAACUCAGCAUGUAGUGGAAGAAUUGGCCUCUACAAAGGAGAUUGUUGCUACGCAACAAGCUCAAAUUGAGGCUCAACAAUCUCAACUUGAAGCUCAACAGAAGAAGAUCGAUUGGCUACAGAGUGUCGUGUCUAACUUGGUUGGCAUUUCACCUCCUAUGACGGCACUAGUGCAACAGGGCUAGGUUUCACAACUGAGCGGCCAAUGCCAUCUGACGGAAUAGGUUCGCUAAUGUCUAACACUGUACAAAGGAUGUCAAGUUAUCCAAGAU